Molecule: ribosomal RNA, 253 nt
Filed under: uncultured bacterium
Lineage: Bacteria
Description: partial 16S ribosomal RNA
Rfam family: Bacterial small subunit ribosomal RNA
Source: RNAcentral
UACGAAGGGUGCAAGCGUUACUCGGAAUUCCUGGGCGUAAAGCGUGCGUAGGUGGUUUGUUAAGUCUGUUGUGAAAGCCCCGGGCUCAACCUGGGAAUGGCAAUGGAUACUGGCAGGCUAGAGUGCGGUAGAGGGUAGUGGAAUUCCCGGUGUAGCGGUGAAAUGCGUAGAGAUCGGGAGGAACACCAGUGGCGAAGGCGGCUACCUGGACCAGCACUGACACUGAGGCACGAAAGCGUGGGGAGCAAACAGG